CUCUUGCUGUGCUACACUCGUUUCUUUGCCUUGCCUAUACCUCUGUGUUUGUUGUGUGUGUGAACCCUAACAGGCCCCACCACCACUACAGCGACGCAGGCGUGCGCUCUCCCAGUUGCUCCGCUUUUCUAUAGUGCUGCAUGCUCAGCUAGCUCUAUUGUCGACUUCCACUUUCCGCCCUUCUGUGUGGAUGUGGUGUGUCUUCUCCCCAUUGCCUGUGCACGUCUCUUUCUCCCGUUGCUGCACAGCAGCUCCUGCCCCUCAGUCGAUCAUUCAACUGCGACUCUUGCCGCGCCUUCUUGUACGUGCCGCGCACGGAGCACGCUUCAGGAGAGAGUGCCCAGCGCUUUACUAGCCACGGCAACUCCUGUUGGACUCUUUCCCUUCUCCACCUCCCCCUUUUUUCUUCCGUCGUAGAUCACCUCACACACGGUGUCCUUCACGACGACGACGCAAUCAGCCACCUUCUACGGCACCUUCGCGCAGCGUCACGCGCAUGCGAGGACGAUUCGCACCGCGACGGGGACGCACGGCAACGGACAGACAGAGUGCGUAUCACUUGCUGUGUCUCAAGAUUGCAUCAGAUCUGCAGUCAACCUCACUGACCCUGCGUCCUUGUGUGAGGUCAGACAUCACCAUUUCGACGACUGCUGCGGUUCCUGUCCUUUAUCCACAACGAUGGGCGCGACGACUGCUCAAGUGGCUGGCGACAGGCAAGCAACGCGCCGCGUCACGCUGAACGUCUUUGGGAUGACGUGCAGGGGAUGUGCUCAGCACGUGCAAGAGAAUUUGAUGACACUGGGGGGAGUGCACUCCGUCUCCGUGGACCUCGACGCGCAGCUUGCCGAGGUGGAUGUGGACGCGACCGAUGCAGCUUCUGAGUUUCGCAUCGAGCAGAAGGUGGUUUCGAUGGGCUACACAGUGCAGCCCGCGGUACUGCCGUCGUGCGGGGCGCCGGGGCGAGAAGAGAGUGAGCUCUCACCAGCGCCGCCCCCUUUGCGUCCCAGUGCGGCAAGUCUCUCCCACGUCUCCUCCAUUGCCUCUGUGCCGACGUGCUGUGCGUCACAGCUGCAGCGGUCCAGCGAGACGUCCAAGUCGACGGAAACGAGCUCGCUGCGACAGGGCGGCGGCUUCUUACCUUUCUCUCGCCGCUUCCGCCGGGUGCCGUGCGGCUGCGGUGGGCGCGGGUGCCUGUGCGCCUACGCGCCUGAGCCGGUGAUGGUGACGGAGGAGACGCGUCUGCUUCCUGAAAAUGACUCGGAGGAAUGCCUGUCGGAGAGGGCCGACUCGCCAUCGUCGGUGGACAUUACUGUGGAUGCCGUCCAGGCUCGCGCCUCACAGAGGCGCCGUGCCCCUGUGGGUGUCCGCGCCACGCCGCCGACGGCUGCAGCGGCAGCGGCGGAAGCCAAGACGAGCCUCCUGAUCGAGGGCAUGUCGUGCACCUCUUGUGCUGCUCGCAUCGAGGCAAAACUCAAGCAGCUCAAGGGCGUGCUCGGCGUGUCUGUGAACUUCUCAGCCAUGAGUGGGCAGGUACUGCACAACCCUGCUCUUGCAUCACUCCAGAAGGUUGUGAGCUGUGUGGCCGACAUGGGCUACAUCGUGACGGCACAGGACACAACCGCCCCACUCGGCACCGCCGACGGCGAGCCACCACAACAGGGCGAGUGCAAGUGCCGCACCAACCUGCGAGCCGUCCCGGUGCAUGUAGGGAGCCUCAUGUCGGGCUAUGAGCAUCGCGUGGUUGUUCUAGGUAUGUCAUGUGCCUCCUGCGCAGCCCGUAUAGAGCACAGGUUGCGGCAGAUGCCCACUGUCCUGAGCUGUACCGUCUCCUUCGCUACUGGCACCGCCGUCAUCACGACCUGCACCCCCAGCGGCUUCACGGACGCAUGCAAGAUGGUGCGCUCGAUGGGGUAUACUGUGACAGAGACGGCGCUGAUGAAGCCUGACUCCUCCAUUAGCCGCACUCGUGAGGCGCUCGAGCGCGCGCGCGAAAUCGCGGAGCAUGAGCGCAACCUGAUCGGCAGCGCACUGCUGAGCGUGCCACUCGCGGCGGUGAUGGUCUUGACAGUGUUCAUGGACAUCAUGGCGCGGCCGCUGCUGGCGCUCAUGAUCGACGGGAUGCAGUUCUGCGUCGUCACCCCGAUCGUCUUCCACUUUGGUCAAGGCUUCUUCCUCAGCGCGUGGCGCAGCUGGCAGCACGGCGCCUACACGAUGGAUACGCUCGUUGCCAUUGGCACGGGCUGCACAUACGCCUACUCCACUGUUGUCUACCUGCUCACGCUGUUUGUGUACCCGCAUGCGCGUAUGAUGACGUACUUUGACACGGCAGGAAUGCUGACAACCUUCAUGCUACUUGGCCGCUUCCUCGAGGCGCGGGCAAAACGCAGCGCAAGUGGGGCGGUCAUUGAGCUGAUGAGUCUGAUGCCGACAACGGCCGUGUGCGUGCAGCCAGACGGGAGUGAGGUGCGGGUGAGCGCGUCGCAGCUGCAGAAGGGCGCCCUCGUGCGUGUGCUGGCCGGCGAUCGUGUUCCUGUCGACGGCACUAUCGUCGAAGGCAGCUCCGAGUUGGACGAGCAGAUGGUGACAGGCGAGUCACUGUCGAAGCAGAAGAAGCCCGGCGAAGAGGUGGUCGGCGGCACCCUUAACAUCACCGGAUCGCUGCUCAUCCGCGCGGACAAGGUUGGGGAAGAGACGAUGAUCGCGCAGGUGCUGCGUAUUGUGCAGGAGGCUCAAAACACAAAGCCAUCUAUCCAGCGCGCUGCCGACCGAAUCGCCAUGUCGUUUGUGCCUUUCGUCCUCGUCUUCUCCCUCCUGACGCUCGGCUUGUGGCUUUUGCUCGGUGUGACGGACGCGUACCCGGUGUCGUGGCGCGGGGCGGAGACAAGCUGGCAGGCGUUCGCCUUCAACUUCUUCAUCUCAACCGUUGUCGCCGCCUGUCCGUGCGCGCUGGGACUGGCCACUCCGACAGCGAUCAUGGUGGGCACCGGCGUGGGGGCGAAAAACGGAGUGCUGGUAAAGAGUGGCACCACGCUGGAGGAGGUGCGAAGUGUCAACUGCGUCGUGCUCGACAAGACGGGCACCAUCACCAACGGUCGGCUGGAGGUGGUUCGGACACACAUGAUAAUGGCGGGUUUGGCGUUGCCUCCAACUACGACCGCGCAGCCUCAUGGCAGCUCGGAUGUUGCCUUGGUGCGCUGCCUUGUCGGGCUCGUGGAGGCGCAGUCUAACCACCCUAUCGCGAAGGCGGUCAGCGCCAAGCUACUGGCGGAGACUGACAGCGGCACGGACGAGGUGCAGCGCCGCGCCCGCUAUGGGGUGUCAUCCGUUGUGACGCAUGGUGGCAAGGGCGUGGAGGCCUCGGUGACCGUGAGGCCAGCAAGCGACGACAACGGCAAGGUCUCUUCCGAGCCGCCACCGCCGCGAGCGCAUCAUGUCCUCGUCGGGAAUGUGGCGCUUCUGCGCGAGCACGGCGUUUCGUUAACCCGUGAGGUGGCCCACCUCGUCGAGGAGGAGAACGGGCACGGUCUGACAACUGUUGUUGCUGCGGUCGAUGGCGCAGCGUGCGUUGUCGUCAGCCUUGCCGACGGCCCGAAGCGUGAGGCGCACGGUGUCAUCCGGUAUCUGCACAAGGCUGGGAUUCGCGUGCUGAUGGUCACGGGCGACAACGCCGGCGUGGCGGGCCGGAUCGCGGCCGAGGUCGGAAUCCACUCGAAAGAUGUGUACGCCGAGGCGCUUCCUAUCGCCAAGGCGGAGAUUGUUAAGGAGCUGCAGGAGCAGGGGUCGCGGGUGAUGUUCGUUGGCGAUGGCAUCAACGACAGCCCCGCCCUGGCACAGGCCAACGUCGGAGUCGCCCUCGGCGCUGGCACCGAAGUGGCGAUUGAGGCGGCCGACGCGGUGCUCGUGCACGAUAGCCUUGUGGAUCUGCUGAACUUGCAAUCCCUAUCCAAGGUCACUGUGCGACGCAUCUACGGCAACUUCAUCUGGGCCUUUGGGUACAAUCUGCUGAUGCUCCCCACUGCCAGCGGGCUGCUGUACCCUUUCUUUCACAUUCGGCUUCCUCCCGUCGCGGCGGGCGCGGCGAUGAUGUUGUCCAGCCUCAGCGUUCUGACAUCGAGCCUGACCAUCCGCUGCUUCCGCGCACAUCGCGAACGCGAUUUUUAUUUCACGUGAGCCAACGCCGGGCUCGGCGGCUUUUGUUUUCCCUUGUCUUGUGGAUCUUUCGGGCCUUCCCUUUUCGCUCUCGGUUAUUUAUGCGCAUACACGAAUGGCACCUCGUGAGUGCGCCGUGUAUGCCCCUGGGCGGUGCGAGCGCGCGCGCGUCAUCGUCGUCAUCGUCGUACGCAUUGGACCCCUUUUUUGUGUCUGUUCAGAUUAUGUGUCUCAUCUCUCCUACUGUGACUGCUCUCGAUGCACCAUUCGCCACCACAGUCGUACUCACCCCCUCGCCAACAUAUGCCUACACGCACUGCACAUGAAGACAACAGUGAGGUAUGAGGCGAAAGACCGCGAGGAGCCAAAACAAAAUGAGGCGCCCCCUCUUACGCACCAGCCACGCGAGUCACUCACCACGCAUACGUGCACGCAAGGUAGGCGACUGACUCUCCGUGCACCGAGCAUCGUAUUGGACGCCGUGUGCCGGGUGGCUGCGUGGGCGGUGCCAUGCAUGCGGCUAUGGCAGGCUUUGCCUUCUCCGCCUCCUUCUACGUCUUUGCCCUUGUGAUUGUGUACGAGCUGCGUCUCUGUUUUGUUCUCUCCGGUGACUGAGGCGGCGCACUGCUGUACUGGCGCGCCUAGGGCUGCCAUCGCACCGCGCGAUGUGGGGUCUGCGACAGGCCGGGUAGCAUGGAGCUGGCCUCGUUGAAGCGACAGAACGGUGUGCUUUCUCUUCGUGCAAGGCGUGCUGCCACUAGAAGCUGCUGAGUUGGUAAGGCACGAGGAAAAGGAUGAACGUAGUCGUUGGCCCUGAGUGACGCACUCACAGGAGAGCGAGUGGAGGAUUUGGGGAGCAUGAGGGAGAGGACUGCCGCGUUGUCGAGUUAUCGAGGCUCGGCAUUGCUUAAUACCGCAGCGAUGCACUGUGUUCGACGAGUUGGCAGUAUGCCUCGUCUCCACGUCGCCUCCCUCCU
This 5126-nucleotide unclassified non-coding RNA is filed under the name Leishmania donovani. Its description in RNAcentral is "gene:LdHU3.33.3190(CDS-product:copper-transportin g_ATPase-like_protein_putative)". The record is from RNAcentral. Lineage: Eukaryota; Euglenozoa; Kinetoplastea; Trypanosomatida; Trypanosomatidae.